This 462-nucleotide ribosomal RNA is filed under the name uncultured bacterium. RNAcentral describes it as "partial 16S ribosomal RNA". It matches the Rfam family "Bacterial small subunit ribosomal RNA", at positions 29 to 507 of the family's 1533-position model. The record is from RNAcentral.
AGUGAACGCUGGCGGCGUGCCUAAUACAUGCAAGUCGAACGAACGAAUAAGAGCUUGCUCUUAUAAGUUAGUGGCGCACGGGUGAGUAAUAUAUAGCUAAUCUGCCUCUUAGUAGAGGAUAACAGUCGGAAACGAUUGCUAAUACUCUAUACUUCUGCUUUACAUAAGUAAAGUAGAGAAAGUUUUUCGCUAAGAGAUGAGGCUAUACUGUAUCAGCUAGUUGGUAAGGUAACGGCUUACCAAGGCUAUGACGCAUAACUGGUCUGAGAGGAUGAUCAGUCACAUUGGAACUGAGACACGGUCCAAACUCCUACGGGAGGCAGCAGUAGGGAAUAUUGCGCAAUGGGGGAAACCCUGACGCAGCAACGCCGCGUGGAGGAUGACACUUUUCGGAGAGUAAACUCCUUUUAUCGGGAAAGAAUAAUGACGGUACCCGAUGAAUAAGCACCGGCUAACUCCGUG